This 84-nucleotide non-coding RNA is filed under the name Paenibacillus ferrarius. RNAcentral's name for it is "c-di-GMP-II sequence". It matches the Rfam family "Cyclic di-GMP-II riboswitch aptamer". The record is from Rfam by way of RNAcentral. Lineage: Bacteria; Bacillati; Bacillota; Bacilli; Caryophanales; Paenibacillaceae.
UUAAAGUAUGGAAGCGAUGAUAUUGAAUCUAUAAUUGGGCACUUGGAUUCAAUUGAGUUAGUAGUGCAACCGGCCGUCCUAAUU